This 1535-nucleotide long non-coding RNA is filed under the name Cucumis sativus (cucumber). Its description in RNAcentral is "long non-coding RNA (CSAT_LNC002988)". The record is from RNAcentral. Lineage: Eukaryota; Viridiplantae; Streptophyta; Magnoliopsida; Cucurbitales; Cucurbitaceae.
CCCUUCCGUUUUCCUCCCGCCGUAGCCCAGCCGCAGCCAGCCGCCGCCGCCGAUCCUUCUCUUCCGUUGUCUGCACUGCCGCGCGACUUUCCGGCCGUCUGUAUACGGUCUCUCCGUCGCACGUCGUCUCUUCGCAAAGCUGCUGCUCGACUUCUUCCGCGAAUAACACCUUUGACGUCCGCGCAAUCAGGUUUUCAUUCGCUACCGUGAACCGAACUAAAGACCCCAGAUCCAACUUUCUGCGUGUCGAGUUCCUUCUUCGUCCUGCCGCAGGUAGCAAACCCACGUCAUUCGAUUGGGUUAUUCGUUGUCGUUCCUACUUUGCCACGAGUCAUUAAAUUCUGAUUGGUAAGAUUGAGGUUAUGAAAUUCGUAACUGUUUCCAAAAUAAACUCAAGUAAUAUUGCUGGACUAAUUGGUUGGAGAAAUCGUUUACUGUUCGGUUAUAGGUUGAAGGUAACGCUCGAAUUCCUUGGGUUCGCAGCAAACAAUCAUUCUAGUUGGAACUCGUUUCGCGAAGAUUUGGGUAAGUUGUAAAAAUUCACAUUGGAUUGAAUUUAAAUGAUUGAUGCGUUAAAGAGAAUUAUUGAGAAAUUUUCUUAAUGUUUAGGUUCGUUCUUCGUAGACUUCAACGUGGUUAAGGAGCUUAAACUAACUUGAAAGUAAGGGACUUUCUACUGGACUCACCUAAAGUUUUUGAGUUGUGUUGGACUGUAUGGAUGAUGAUUAAGAUGUACAUGUUUGGUUGCAGACUAAAUGUUUAGUGUAUGUUGUAUUUGACUGGAAACAUAUAUAUAUACAUUGAUGUGUGAAUUGAUGUGGAUUGCCGAAAGUAUACAUGUGAAUGACUGAAAUUAUGCUAAUGUGUACAUGAUUGAUAUUAAUAGAUUGUGCCUGUAUAAAGAUUUGGAUGUGAACUAGUGAAUUUGAUUCGGUUGGAUGUGGAUUAUACUGAACUGUGGUUUGUGCUGCGUGAACUGAGGGGUGUAUUGACUGUAUAGUUUGAUUGACUGACGUAUUAGUAUAUUAUUGACAGACAUAUGACUAAAGUGAGAUAAGUUGACUGUUAGGACGUCGAGAGAAAGAACUUUAUGUUUUGAAGUAACUGAAAGAUGGAUUGAAUGGAAUGAGGGGAUAAAUUGUUAGGUUGUAUUGGGAUGUUUACCUUGUAGGUGUCCCACGGGACCACCAAUUUAUUUUGCACCUUCGGGAGCAUUUGACUGAUAUGUGUUUCUGCAGAACACUUGACUAAUAUGUACGUCCCUCGGGGCGUUAGACUGAUAUGUACGUCCCUCGGGGCGUUAGACUGAGAUGUGUAUCCUACGGGAUCACAAGACUGCGACUGUACAGGGUGUCCCAAUAGAACUUUAACAAUUUAUUUUCCCCUGACGAGACCAGUAGAGGGUCUCUUACUGAGUAUUGUUAUACUCACCCUUCUUAUGUUUAAUUUUCAGGCAAAGGAAAUAAAGGUGGCAAACCGGCGAGGGGCAGGAAGGAAGCGUGAUUGCCAUAGGGAAUGUGUUAUUUUGCUUCCGC